RNAcentral lists this long non-coding RNA (242 nucleotides) under Capsella rubella. Its description in RNAcentral is "long non-coding RNA (CRUB_LNC001653)". Lineage: Eukaryota; Viridiplantae; Streptophyta; Magnoliopsida; Brassicales; Brassicaceae. The record is from RNAcentral.
CUAUCAUAGGUUUAUGACUUGUCCGGAGGAUGUUAGCUCUGUUUUAUUUGAGGAUGUUAUUGGGUCUGCGCAUCCACGUUUUGUUAGAGUGUAGUUUUUUGUUUUGUUUUUAAUUCUAGGAAAUUUCCCCUUUCUUCCACCAAAAAAAAAAAAAAUAAGAAAACAAAUCGCAAAACAUAAAUAAUAUGGCCGUUGGAGCUUUGAUGACAAUUUCGGCCAAAAUAAGGAAAGUCUCUUCUCUU